UAUCCAAUAUAUCCCUCAAAUUUCAGCGAUUUUUUCUCAUUUAGGGCCGAUAUUUUGCUUAUAUCACCGAUAUAUUCGUAAUUACCAAUAUAUUGCCGAUAUUUAUCGAUAUUUACUGAUAUUUUCGUCAUACGAUAUAUCUUACCUGUAUAUCAUAUCCACUUUAUCUGAUAUCGCCGAUAUAUCCCGAUAUUUUCUUUCUUGUAGUGCACACACCAGUCGACCCUUUUUUUUUCCAAAUUUUUUCUCUUUUCUUCCACUUCUUUUUCCCCAUAAAAACGCUUUUUCUUCCCUUGGACUACCACCCACUCCCCACUUUCCUUCUUCUUUUUUUUCUUUUUUUUUUC
RNAcentral lists this long non-coding RNA (347 nucleotides) under Vitis vinifera (wine grape). Its description in RNAcentral is "long non-coding RNA (VVIN_LNC006204)". The record is from RNAcentral. Lineage: Eukaryota; Viridiplantae; Streptophyta; Magnoliopsida; Vitales; Vitaceae.